UACGUAGGGUGCAAGCGUUAAUCGGAAUUACUGGGCGUAAAGCGUGCGCAGGCGGUUAUGUAAGACAGGUGUGAAAUCCCCGGGCUUAACCUGGGAACUGCAUUGUGACUGCAUAGCUAGAGUACGGUAGAGGGGGAUGGAAUUCCGCGUGUAGCAGUGAAAUGCGUAGAUAUGCGGAGGAACACCGAUGGCGAAGGCAAUCCCCUGGACCUGUACUGACGCUCAUGCACGAAAGCGUGGGGAGCAAACAGG
RNAcentral lists this ribosomal RNA (252 nucleotides) under uncultured bacterium. Its description in RNAcentral is "partial 16S ribosomal RNA". It matches the Rfam family "Bacterial small subunit ribosomal RNA", at positions 524 to 776 of the family's 1533-position model. The record is from RNAcentral.